UCAUCUNGUUCGACACGGANCAUCUCNCCNGCCAGUCNACCGUUAGUAUGUAAUGUCAUCCUGAAAGGGNUUACCUGACGUAGCCNAGAGGUANUGCAUGGCCGUCGUCAGCUCGUACCGUAAGGUGUCUUGUUAAUNCAAGCAACGAGCGAGACNGGUNUAUACAAUUGCUAACAACUCUUUUAAGAGAUUUGAGCACAUUGUAGGAACUGCUCUGGAAACAGAGAGGAAGGUGCAGGCAACGAUAGGUCUGUAUGCUCCGAAUCUGCUGGGCUACACGCGCGCAACAAUGGUAAGGACAAUGUGAUGCAACUCUGAAAAGAGAAGCUAAUCCUCGAAACCUCGAAACCUUAUCUUAGUCUAGAUUGAGGAUUGUAACUCAUCCUCAUGACAUUGGAAUCUCUAGUAAUCAGAUGUCAACAUCNUCUGGUGAAUAUGUCCCUGCUCCUUGUACACACCGCCCGUA
This 466-nucleotide ribosomal RNA is filed under the name uncultured euryarchaeote. RNAcentral describes it as "partial 16S ribosomal RNA". It matches the Rfam family "Archaeal small subunit ribosomal RNA", at positions 903 to 1354 of the family's 1478-position model. Lineage: Archaea; Methanobacteriati; Methanobacteriota. The record is from RNAcentral.